This 387-nucleotide long non-coding RNA is filed under the name Capsella rubella. RNAcentral describes it as "long non-coding RNA (CRUB_LNC001771)". Lineage: Eukaryota; Viridiplantae; Streptophyta; Magnoliopsida; Brassicales; Brassicaceae. The record is from RNAcentral.
UAGAUUGCUUCCUUUGUCCAACGAUAUAAACAGAACUUGUCUUGGCUGUCAAGUAAUGGCCAGUGCGUAUGAAGUGAGCCACUACCUGCUGUCUUAACAUAGUCUGCAGAUUUCAUCCAUCUCUGAGAAUUUCCAUUGACCAAGUUAGUUGUCUAAAGCAGCAAUAAACUAAGGGAUAGUCACUUACUGUUUUGCUUGACGUUCAAACAAUGUGAUGUGAUCUUCCAUCAAUGUGUCCAAACCUAGCUUUAGCCUCCUCUGGUUUAAGCCUCUCUAGACCGAAUAAAGCAAUUUCGCAACUACUAUGAGACUGAUACCAUUUGCUUAAUGAGAGAGAAUAACUGAGAAACUGCAACUAGUAUCUAUCUGCAUCAUUUAAGUACUUAG